RNAcentral lists this ribosomal RNA (478 nucleotides) under uncultured bacterium. RNAcentral describes it as "partial 16S ribosomal RNA". It matches the Rfam family "Bacterial small subunit ribosomal RNA", at positions 28 to 523 of the family's 1533-position model. The record is from RNAcentral.
GACGAACGCUGGCGGCGUGCUUAACACAUGCAAGUCGAACGGUAAGGCCCUUCGGGGUACACGAGUGGCGAACGGGUGAGUAACACGUGGGUGAUCUGCCCUGCACUUCGGGAUAAGCCUGGGAAACUGGGUCUAAUACCGGAUAGGACCACUGCCUGCAUGGGUGGUGGUGGAAAGCUUUUGCGGUGUGGGGUGGGCCCGCGGCCUAUCAGCUUGUUGGUGGGGUGAUGGCCAACCAAGGCGACGACGGGUAGCCGGCCUGGGAGGGUGACCGGCCACACUGGAACGGGGAUACGGCCCAGACUCCUGCGGGAGGAAGCAGUGGGGGAUAUUGCACAAUGGGCGCAAGCCUGAUGCGGCGACGCCGCGUGAGGGAUGACGGCAUUCGGGUUGUAAACCUCUUUCAGCACCGACGAAGCGCAAGUGACGGUAGGUGCAGAAGAAGGACCGGCCAACUACGUGCCAGCCGCCGCGGUAA